This 396-nucleotide ribosomal RNA is filed under the name uncultured bacterium. RNAcentral describes it as "bacterial SSU rRNA". It matches the Rfam family "Bacterial small subunit ribosomal RNA", at positions 539 to 931 of the family's 1533-position model. The record is from RNAcentral.
CGUUAUCCGGAAUUAUUGGGCGUAAAGAGCUCGUAGNCGGUUUGUCGCGUCUGUCGUGAAAGUCCGGGGCUUAACCCCGGAUCUGCGGUGGGUACGGGCAGNCUAGAGUGCAGUAGGGGAGACUGGAAUUCCUGGUGUAGCGGUGGAAUGCGCAGAUAUCAGGAGGAACACCGAUGGCGAAGGCAGGUCUCUGGGCUGUAACUGACGCUGAGGAGCGAAAGCAUGGGGAGCGAACAGGAUUAGAUCCCCUGGUAGUCCAUGCCGUGGGGCGUUGGGCACUAGGUGUGGGGACCAUUCCGCUGUUUCCGCGCCGCAGCUAACGCAUUAAGUGCCCCGCCUGGGGAGUACGGCCGCAAGGCUAAAACUCAAAGGAAUUGACGGAAUAGAAUUCCCGCG